RNAcentral lists this transfer RNA (71 nucleotides) under bacterium. RNAcentral describes it as "tRNA-Gln". It matches the Rfam family "tRNA". Rfam says of the family: Transfer RNA (tRNA) molecules are approximately 80 nucleotides in length. Their secondary structure includes four short double-helical elements and three loops (D, anti-codon, and T loops). RNAcentral also lists the same sequence under 2 other names. The record is from RNAcentral.
UGGGGGAUCGUCUAACGGCAGGACGGCAGACUCUGGAUCUGUCUAUCGGGGUUCGAAUCCCUGUCCCCCAG